GUCUUUGUAGUAUAUUGAUUACUUUGGUCUUGUAAACCAAGAAUGGAGAACCCUAUCUCCCUAAGACU
Molecule: transfer RNA, 68 nt
Filed under: Martes americana (American marten)
Lineage: Eukaryota; Metazoa; Chordata; Mammalia; Carnivora; Mustelidae
Also listed under: 1 other name
Description: tRNA-Thr
Source: RNAcentral